RNAcentral lists this ribosomal RNA (253 nucleotides) under uncultured bacterium. RNAcentral describes it as "partial 16S ribosomal RNA". It matches the Rfam family "Bacterial small subunit ribosomal RNA", at positions 524 to 776 of the family's 1533-position model. The record is from RNAcentral.
UACGGGGGGGGCAAGCGUUGUUCGGAAUUACUGGGCGUAAAGGGCUCGUAGGCGGCCAACUAAGUCGGACGUGAAAUCCCCAGGCUCAACCUGGGAACUGCGUCCGAUACUGGAUGGCUUGAAUCCGGGAGAGGGAUGCAGAAUUCCAGGUGUAGCGGUGAAAUGCGUAGAUAUCUGGAGGAAUACCGGUGGCGAAGGCGGCAUCCUGGACCGGCAUUGACGCUGAGGAGCGAAAGCCAGGGGAGCAAGCGGG